AUCCGGCCCUGCGCAGAGGCUGCGGACGCCGGUGCUGGAGCCGCUGCAAGACCCGGGUCAGGCACGCAGUGGGUCCCUGCAGUCACCGCUGCUGGGGUCUUUUCCCACCCCUGAUGGAAGCUGAGGCUCUGGGAGGGAGGAGAUUUGAGACACUGAGAAAAAGUCCAUGUGGAGACAGAGGCAGAGACUGGAGCGAUGCAGCCACAAGCCAAGGGACCCUGAGGAUGGCCGGCACCACCGGGAGCCAAGAGAGGCCUGGAGCAGAUCCUCCCGACAGCCCUCAGAAGGCAUCAACCUUGCCAGCAUCUUGACUACAGACUCUGACUUCUGGCACUGUGACAGAAUACAUUUCUGUUGUUGUAA
Molecule: long non-coding RNA, 363 nt
Organism: Camelus dromedarius (Arabian camel)
Lineage: Eukaryota; Metazoa; Chordata; Mammalia; Artiodactyla; Camelidae
Exons: 2
Source: RefSeq, a predicted model, not a curated record